Molecule: ribosomal RNA, 253 nt
Filed under: uncultured bacterium
Lineage: Bacteria
Description: partial 16S ribosomal RNA
Rfam family: Bacterial small subunit ribosomal RNA
Source: RNAcentral
UACGAAGGGGGCUAGCGUUGCUCGGAUUGACUGGGCGUAAAGGGCGCGUAGGCGGUUCGUACAGUCAGACGUGAAAUUCCUGGGCUCAACCUGGGGGCUGCGUUUGAUACGUGCGGACUUGAGUGCGGAAGAGGGUCGUGGAAUUCCCAGUGUAGAGGUGAAAUUCGUAGAUAUUGGGAAGAACACCGGUGGCGAAGGCGGCGACCUGGUCCGUGACUGACGCUGAGGCGCGAAAGCGUGGGGAGCAAACGGG